This 497-nucleotide ribosomal RNA is filed under the name uncultured bacterium. RNAcentral's name for it is "partial 16S ribosomal RNA". It matches the Rfam family "Bacterial small subunit ribosomal RNA", at positions 28 to 507 of the family's 1533-position model. The record is from RNAcentral.
GAUGAACGCUGGCGGCGUGCCUAAUACAUGCAAGUCGAGCGAACGGACGAGAAGCUUGCUUCUCUGAUGUUAGCGGCGGACGGGUGAGUAACACGUGGAUAACCUACCUAUAAGACUGGGAUAACUUCGGGAAACCGGAGCUUAUACCGGAUAAUCUUUUGAACCGCAUGGUUCAAAAGUGAAAGACGGUCUUGCUGUCACUUAUAGAUGGAUCCGCGCUGCAUUAGCUAGUUGGUAAGGUAACGGCUUACCAAGGCAACGAUGCAUAGCCGACCUGAGAGGGUGAUAGGCCACACUGGAACUGAGACACGGUCCAGACUCCUACGGGAGGCAGCAGUAGGGAAUCUUCCGCAAUGGGCGAAAGCCUGACGGAGCAACGCCGCGUGAGUGAUGAAGGUCUUCGGAUCGUAAAACUCUGUUAUUAGGGAAGAACAGAUGUGUAAGUAACUGUGCACAUCUUGACGGUACCUAAUCAGAAAGCCACGGCUAACUACGUG